UGGGGAAUUUUGGACAAUGGGCGAAAGCCUGAUCCAGCCAUGCCGCGUGAGUGAAGAAGUCCUUCGGGUUGUAAAGCUCUUUUAGUCGGAAAGAAAGAGUUGCAAUGAAUAAUUGUGAUUUAUGACGGUACCGACAGAAAAAGCACCGGCUAACUACGUGCCAGCAGCCGCGGUAAUACGUAGGGUCCUAGCGUUAAUCGGAAUUACUGGGCGUAAAGGGUGCGCAGGCGGUUUUGCAAGUCAGAUGUGAAAGCCCCGGGCUUAACCUGGGAAUUGCGUUUGAAACUACAAGGCUAGAGUGCAGCAGAGGGGAGUGGAAUUCCAUGUGUAGCAGUGAAAUGCGUAGAGAUGUGGAAGAACACCGAUGGCGAAGGCAGCUCCCUGGGUUGACACUGACGCUCAUGCACGAAAGCGUGGGGAGCAAACA
RNAcentral lists this ribosomal RNA (427 nucleotides) under uncultured beta proteobacterium. RNAcentral describes it as "bacterial SSU rRNA". It matches the Rfam family "Bacterial small subunit ribosomal RNA", at positions 355 to 774 of the family's 1533-position model. The record is from RNAcentral. Lineage: Bacteria; Pseudomonadati; Pseudomonadota; Betaproteobacteria.